AGAAUGAACGUUGGCGGCGUGGAUUAGGCAUGCAAGUCGAGCGAGAACCCGCAAGGGGGACAGCGGCAAACGGGGUAGGAACGCGUAGGUUACGUACCCUCAGGUCGGGGAUAGCCACGGGAAACUGUGGGUAAUACCCGAUAAUAUCGAGAGAUCAAAGGUGUGAUUCCACCUGGGGAGCGGCCUGCGUAGUAUUAGCUUGUUGGUGAGGUAAUGGCUCACCAAGGCGAAGAUGCUUAGGGGGUGUGAGAGCAGUCGGCCCCCCACACUGGGACUGAGAUACUGCCCAGACACCGUAGGGUGCUGCAGUCGAGAUCGUCGGCAAGUGGGCGACAAGCCUAGGACCGAGGCACGCCGCGUGUGGGAUGGAAGGUCCCUUGGGUUACGUAAAACCACGUGUCGAAGGAGGGGUAUAGGAAA
Molecule: ribosomal RNA, 420 nt
Filed under: uncultured soil bacterium
Lineage: Bacteria
Description: bacterial SSU rRNA
Rfam family: Bacterial small subunit ribosomal RNA
Source: RNAcentral